GGGAGAAAAAAACGCAAGGGAGAGCUACAGAGUGGAGUAAAAAAGGGAAAAAGGGAGAGGGGGGCAUGGUAAAUGAGAACAUGAUACACAAGACACCUGAUAGGGAGAACUAUUCUGACACUCCAGGUUGAAGGACAAUUGCCAUUUGAUGCAUCUUGGGUUUUUUAUUUUUUGAUGGAAUCCAAGAGCUCCGAAUUUCUUGGGAAUUCUCCCACACUACUACACUCCUCCUGUCAGGGAUGCGGGUGGAGGAGGCAGGACUCAAGCGCAGACUUCUCAGAAAGCAAAAGACUUUAAUUGUCAAAAGGCAAAAUCAAAAGGCCAAGGGGCAAAAACACACACGAACCAGGGGAAAAACAGCAGGCAGGAAACUAUAAACAUCCACGACAAUAGACAAGGACAUGCGUGGCAAAAGACAAUGACGCGACAAGUGACAACAGACACACACGGCUUAAAUACAUUAGGGGAGGUGCAGGUGAUUGGACACAGGUGGAAACUAUUAGAUGAUCACAGGGGAUGACAUAACAAGGCAGGAAGUGAAGUUACCCGGGGACGCGAGUGGCAGAAAACUACAAAAUAUAACAGGAAGUGAACCACACCGUGACACCUCCGCUCUCUUCACUGGUACCGGUGGCUGCCCGCAUCCAGUUCUAAACAUUGGUGCUCACGUACCAUGCUGUGAAUGGAUCGGGUCCAGCUUACAUCCAGGACAUGGUCAAACCCUACAUCCCGACCCGCACUCUCCGCUCUGCAUCUGCUAAACUGCUCGUCUGCUGCUCACUGAGAGCAAAACACUCGACUAGAUCACGACUCUUUGCUGUCCUUGCUCCGAAAUGGUGGAACGAGCUCUCUGAUGACACCAGGACCGCAGAGAGCCUUCACAUCUUCCGCCGCAAACUAAAGACACACCUCUUCAGACUCUACCUCGACUAAAGACUAACAAAUUGUAGCACUUAAAUUGUACUUAAAACGCCACUCGUCUAUAGCAAAUUGUAAAUUGGCUUAUUUGAGGAAAUUGCACUUUCUUGUUUCUUGCUCUUCUGGGUUUGUAUCCUUAUGGUUGAAUGCACUUAUUGUAAGUCGCUUUGGAUAAAAGCGUCAGCUAAAUGACAUGUAAGGAAAACGGGCAAAGCGACAUGGAGAAAAAAAAGCAGCUCCACAUUGAGAAAGGACCCUUUGUGCAGCCAAACUUAUUAAUAAGAAAAACUUGAUUUGGGAUUAUUACCAAAAUCACAGGUGACUCACUGUAGACUAUUUCCCUACAAAUGGGGAAUACUAGGGAAUAAGACAAUUGGCAACGGCUAAACUGCUUGUUUUGAAACUGACAUAAUCCAACCAUUAAUCUGCACUCAUACGUUUUUACACACAUUUUAUAUUUUAUGCAGUAAGUAAGGGUGUUGUCUUUUUUAAUAGAACAAGGGCCAAAGACGGUAUAUUUUGUCCAUGUCAACACAUCAACAAUGCUUCAAUAAAAGAUAACAGCAAUUUAGUUCAUACAAACUCAUCGUUGUGAAAGUAAAGGCCAAGGUUACAGAAAAAAAAGGCCGAAGCUUGGCAAUGAAUGUUAACAAUCCUCUUCAGAGAGGUGAAGAUGUGUCGGUGAAACGGAUAGCAGUGUGUGUCUGUGUGCAGGAUGUGUGCGUGUGGAAGAGUAAUUCAGUAAACAGCGUCUGACCCUCGGCAACUGUCCCCAGCAGAGACAACUCUCCCCCCUGUCAGCCAGCGUAAUGCUCAGCCAGUGGGAAGAGCACAGCACCAGGCCGCCAUAACUUUGUGACCUGGAACUUUUUGAUUGACCUCAGGGUGGAGGGGGGGCGGAUUUGGGAUUAAAGUGGGGUUUUGUGUUCGUGUGGGGGGCUGAUCUGAGUGUUAAACUAAUCCUGCGGGAAUCUGUAUUUAAAGCCCGGGCGGAUACACGCUGAUGGCCGAGCCGGCGUAGACAGGGAGAUAGAAGAUCGCCGCUGUGUGGAAACAUUACGUCGGAGGUUAUGCAAGAGAUACAUGGAAGCACACGCUGUCCAACUCUCGCCAUAUUUCCCCCUUUAUCUCACACGCACCCACAUGGGCAGAGAGCAUGCAGGACCUGAAGCGCUGAGAGAGGUUAAUAUAUUAUGACCAAUCGUCAACCCAACCUACACACCAGCCUCAAAUAGACUUCUAGCGUGUGAAUGUUCCUGGAAUUCCAGCCAAAUGGACGCUGUAAAGCGUGGAAACGUAUAAUCACAUGGCUGCCUCUGCGUGAGAACACUGCAGAGACUUUUAACAGAUUUAGGACUUGUUAUGUGUAAAUCUUUUAAUUGGUUGAAGUCACUGAACAUGGGGACUGGCGGGUUUGAUUAACGUGUGAGAAGAACAAACAAGUUGGGCGGGCUUCCUAUCAGUGCUUUGCGAAAGAAUAUUAAUUAAAGAAAGUAGAGUAUUAUACUGCAUUCAAUUCUGAAACGUUCCAAAUCUUUAUUUUGGGCCUCACGUGGUAACGUUGCUCUCCUUGUCACUGAGAUGGUCCAUGAACUACAGGAUUGCCAUAAACAUUCAUCCCAGACAAUGAACCACAAUUCUUCUACUUUGGUAAUCGUGAACAACAUUUCUUUUUGAGGGGGUUAGGGGUUAGUUUUGACUCCCUGCAGACCUUUCCUUUAUCACCAUUAUCAGGUCAAACUUUCUCCCUUUUGUCAUGACUAGUUAGUAAACACUAGCAUGCAAACACACCAAGUUAAGAUGAUGAAUGUGUCCCAAGGGCACCAGAUUUCACCCUCCAAGUUCUUGAGUCCGACCAAUCUUUAGCCCUGCAAUUGCAAAACGUAACUGAAAAUAUUAUUUGUGAAAAUGUUAAUAUUUGUAACUUUUGGUCAAGGCCAGUCUCCACAGACCAGUGGAGAACAUUAGACCAUAAAAGAGGCCGCGGAGCUCGAUUUGCUACUACUUGCUUUGCACAUCGCUGGUUGAGCUACCUCGCUUUUCUCUCCCUGCAGGUGCCUAUAUUUGUGAGGGAGGGGGGGGGGGUUCUGACCCUCUUACACAAGUCCAGUACUCGUGUGCACAUACACACACAUACAAGCACGCGGAGAUUAGGUGUCGUCACACCGAAAUACCAUCGUCACGGCUGUUGGCAUGUGGACAGGGUUUCCUCGUAGGGGAAAGGGAACGUGAAGGGAAGUCCGGAGGGGCUGCGGCCGAAAGAGAAGUCCUCACUAAACACACACAUCGUGAACAAGUAUCUCCCGCGAGCUCAUCCCUGGAGGGGUGAAAUUAAAAAAAGGUGAUGACCAAGGUCGUGCUUUUCGAUCUUAUCUGUGGUUCUGUAAUCAAGGCACUCAUACAUCUCUCUGUGUCAAUAAAGCAGAUUGCUUUUGUCCUGCAGCGCUUUACAAUGCUUAAUGUCUGCUUUUGUAUUCAGCAGCAGUUCCUCUUUCUUCACUCUGUGUCUUUUAUGAAGGGGAGACAUGACGGGGUUUUUUAUGUUAUCAUGGCGGCCACUAACGCUAUUUCAGGGUCAUUUCACUCAAUUAGGAACCUUCGUAACCAAAUUUGACGAUUCGAUUCCAGAGCCUCGGCGAUGAAGAAAAACUCCACGCUGAACUUUCCACACCGCCAAGAUUUACUGCAUUCGCCUUUUGGUGCUACUGUGAUUCUGUCAUCGGCUGAGAAACUGAUCAAGAAAUAUCUCACGUCGCCCUCUGCUCACAGCGAAAUUAAUCUUCUCCACUCACUUGACUGCUUCUCUCAAACUUCAAUCUGCCUCAUCUUUUUCUCUUUGUUCAUUUAUAGUUACCUUUACCCUCCUUCUGUAGCUGGAUUGAAAUAGUCCUUUUUACAGACACAGCAGUUGCUUUUCACCCACUGCAAAUCAAUUGAAUAGAAGUAUGAAACAAGCGAGGCCCAAAAAGCUCUCAUUGCUUCAGUCACCGACAUAAAAUGCCACCUCAGUCACGUCGCAGGUAAAUAUACCCGUCUGCAGGUGUCACAGGAGUAGCUGAUCAGCCCUGAUUGGCUGGCUCUGCAGAAAGUCAGUGCUCAUUGAGAUUCAUCCCUUCUUUGGCCAAACGUUACACAAUCUAUCUGAUCAUAAAACUCGUUAUUGCAACUAUUUAAUUUAGAUCAGCAAUGGCCCUGUUUGCGACGUAAUCCAGCACACACACAGAUAUUUGUAACAUUCACUGGCUUCACCCUCUUAAAUGUGAUAAGUUGGUGCUAUUCUUAGUUUUAUAAAUAUAUAUAAAAUAAUUGUUUUUGUUGACGGAGUAUUCACAAGCAAAUUGAAGAUGAUGUUAGGGUUCGGAAAGCCCUCAAGGGAGGCCCCACUCCUUUGUUCUCGUCCUGGCCCGGAAACGAAGAAUCAAAAGUGUCAGCUUGCUUAAAUUCAAAAAUCAAAAAGUAUUUAAUUACUAAACAACGUUAUAAGGAAUACAAUUACAAAGUGAAAUACAAAACGAACAGUCAAAUAUUUUGCGAAAUAGAGAAUUCUCUGUGUACAGUGUUUAUAUGAUUUACAUGACUAUAGCUUGUGUUUGGUUCAAAUUGCAUUCAUUUCAUCUAUCAUGUUAAUGUAAUAACUAAGAUCUAAUACAAACUAGAAUUCUAACACUAAACAUUAUUACACAUAUUAUAAUUUCCACCACUAGGGGUGCACUUCUUGCUUGAAUCCCUAACAAUGACACAUAUAUUAUAAUUUCUAACUUUCACACAAUGCAUUGACCUUUAAAUGGCUAAGAUCCAUUUUACGAAUUGCAUACUGAUGGGCCUAUUCUUACGUGGUAUGAUAGAACAGUGAUGUUUUGAGUUUCACUGCGGUGCCGUCGGCAUAAAUUGCACAGGAUAUUAAAAAAAAUAAUGGUUGACAUGAGAAAUGCGUGAACUGUGUUUGACACUGAGGGAGUGUGAGGACGCCGUGGUGUGACGGGGGUCCUGUGCACUCUGUCUUGUUUUGCCAUGUUCUCUCUGACCUGCUAUAAAAACAGAACGGUUGUCGGAGGCGGGACGGGCGGAGGGGCUUUGGGAUUGGUUGCAGCUGUCGGCCCGACUCCUGGAGGACGGCGAGAGUCCGUCUCAUCUCUUAAUUACUGUCGUCCCUGAGACCCAGCCGGCUAAUAACUGCCGCGCUACUGCAGCGAGCUGGAUCCUUCGCUGAGCGCGAGCAGAUGGAGGCGCAGAGAGGAACCUUCAGCUCCACAGCCAGGCAGAUCAGAUAGGACUCAACAGGGCCUUCCUUGACCAUCUGGCCUAAUGUGCGAAGCACGACUCGCACACGGACCUACGCGCAAACAGGCAUUCCUUUUUUCUAUCAUAACAUUGGCCGCACUGCAUCUUGUUCCCAGCUGAUUUGAAUGAACAUUUGUCAUCAUCACCUCUGAAAGCCUCAAUAAGAGACGCUCCUGUUGCACGGCAGGGUGGUGAGAGAAAGUACGGCACACAUGCUGCUGCACGCUCAACCGAACAAGGGACGGUAUUAGUGUUAGGCCUAUUACUGCUCUGUGCCGUCCAUGGCUGCCCAGACAAAGUGGCAUCCACGCUGUAAAUAGCGGUGCAUCACUGUAAAUACACGCAGCUUUGACCUGUUCGGUGUGCGUAACUGCUUUCUGGGAGCAUAUGGGCUGACGAGGAUCAAUGGCAGAUAUGGGCCAGUAUUAGCAGUGACACUAACGCGGCUAAUCGCCCUAACUUUCUAAGAUGUUCUUCUCCCUGCUGUGGACACUCUCUCACACACACACACACACAGGUACACGCAUACACAAGCUUACCUCAAUCCCCCAUAUCUGGGCCCCUAUGGAUCCAAGGGCACAGGUUGAUUCUAUAUUCAACCAGUGACCCUUUUCCCUUAGUGCCGUCGGCAAGUGAGGAAGAAAUGCUGCACGAGCUGUGUGAAAUACUGCAAGCGUGCUGUAAGGCUCCUCUGAAGGGUUUCCUCUUUGUAUUCAUCUCAGUCUCAUAUGCUGAAUGUUAACGCGACGUGACUCACUGAAGUGAAAAGCAAUCAGAAAAUGUGUAACGGAAAAAAUGAAGUUGGUUGAUGAAAAUACAAAGCGCAUGUGAGAUGUGCCCAAUACAGGAACAUUCAUUCCAUCUUCAUAUUUAAUUGGGAUGUUUUAAGAUUGGACCAUUAUGCGUUUCCCAGGAUCUCGGUAUGAGAUACACACAACGUGAUGCUGUUUGCUGGGUGACAGUCAAACCCCAAAGCUUGUAAAAUAGGGACCCAAGAGGCUACGAGUGAAAUAAAACAUCUACAAAUUUAGCCAACAAGGCUAAACUAGUUAAUGAUUGAUGUGGAGGGAUUAUGUUAGAAGCUGUUAAAAGGAGUAAUUUUUCUGUUUAGCCUAAAGCUAAUAAUUAGACUAACAUGACAAACAAUAUUUUAGGCAUUAACUCUGAAUGACGAUGCCAGUACCAGCACCCUAAAUACCAACAGAGUCAUUCCUGCCAAGUUGACCAAAUCUACAGUGACAAAGAUCCUUUUAUGUUGAUAAGAAAAAAGUAAAAAGCAGACAGGUGGAAACCAAUGUUGAUGCUCAUCAUAUUGACGAUGACGAUGAUCCAGCUCAUCUUGAGCCAAAAAGAGUCAAACACACAGCAAAGGUUAACCUGCCUUUUUAUACUUUGGUGGUGGGAAAGAAAGACAAAGCUUGACAGAGAACUCACAUCAUUGUAACUCGUUUUUAGCCCACCUCGGCCCACCUCACGGGCCCAAACGAUGCCCCCUAAAAACAACAGCAGCUCAGAGUUAAUGCAGAUUAACCUUUGUGAGAUCACACUCUGGCUGUGCGUCUCUCUCUCUCUCUCUCUCUCUGUGUGUCCGUGGGUCCGUGGCGUCCUUCACAGACUUUCCAUCUCUCUCAUGAAUGUUUGAUGGUGCUGCCAGCUGCUCUCUAAGUCUGAGGGCGGCACGUGUUCCUGCUCACAAACACAGGCCCCGCAUUGUUUUUGCCCCGGGAGGACUUCUGCAAAACAGCAGCACUCAUGUGUUUGUAUCACGGUUAAGAAAAAGAAGCAAAAAAAAAAGGGGUUUGCCUACGAGUAGCAUGAGGUGUGCAACGGCUGUGCUAUUUUUAGAUGCAUAUAUAGUCAUUGUGCAGAAAACAACAGUGUCUCAGUCAUUUAAAAAUGAACAAAUGAUGUGUGGGCAACUUUCCCUCCUACACAAAUCACUGUUUCAGACUGUUUUUGUGCACAGACAUUACAUUUUCUACAGCAAAUCUCUUCAAUUGUUUGACUUUUUCCUUAAAUUUGCAUCCUUGACCAUAAAUUUCACGGCAACUAUUCGCCAAUGCAGAUCAGCAGAGGUGGCGAUGUUGUUGACAGGCGCACGCGGGCAUUUCUAACUUUUGUGUGGAAGCAUCAAUCACAACUUUGCUCUCACUCUAGUUUUCCCAACCUUGCACAGACCCAUACACAUACACACACUCUCUGCAUGAGCUUCCACCUAUCCUGACACCCUCAGGAUUCUUUUCAAGAGCCAUAUGUCUCCUUUCCGUUGUCACAGGAGCAUCGAGCACUUCUCUGUCCUAUCAUGCAAAUGAAGCAGGGAUUUGGACUGGCGUCCUGCAGACAGACCAUUGACACGAUAGACACUCCAUGGUCUGGUUAUUUACACAUUCAUGAUUGACUUUUAAAUAAAAAUAUAUAGUUUAAUUUAGUUUCUUAACGAUAUGGCGUUAUCACAUUUUUAUCCAUAAAUGUAAUGUUGUGAUUAUAUAUCAACUGGAAACAAUUAACAAAAUAGUCAUGUGGUUAUUUAUACAUGAACUGAUGAGGAGUGGACCAAGAGUAGAACCCUGUGGUAUUCCAGUUUCUUUUCUAGCAAUUAGAAAGAGAAUGUUUUGCAGGUGGAAAAUGUGAGGGAAACUAAACAGACCUUUUGUUGCCUGAACAGACUAAUUAUUGCAGUUUGGUGCCACAUUUUUAUUUUGCUAGGCAACCAAUGAAUGAGUUUAAUAAACAAUUGUUAGUUGGAUAAACUGACCACACAUUAAGUUAGUAGAUAGUAACCACACUAAUUUGCCUGCAAGCCUGCUUUUUGGUUAAGUUCAGACAGCACAGGACAGGCUACUUAAACUUCAUUGUCCACUUCCCCUUCUUUUCCCUCCACCCACACUGUCAGACAGAACUGGGUCAUGGUGAACCUGAGGCCAGCGGCUCCCAUUACUUCAGCUCAAAAGUCGGAACCCCAGGGCCUUGAAUGGGAUUCAAACAUCACACUUUGGCUCAGACAUUAAGGGUCACCAUCAGCACCAUAACUAGCCAUCUUUCCUCCGAGCACUCAUCAUAAAUGAGGAGAUUUGGGCCUACUCCCCCAGGGGGAACUAUGAAACAUGUGCAGGUUUGUCACCUGUCAAAUUUGUGUUCAUUUCAUGCACUGUCACCGUAAAUAAAACUUUUAACACAACUCUGGGAGUUGGGGUUGAAUGCUACGGUUCUUUCCAUCACCGAAUACCUUAAUGGGACAGGUUAGGUUUUGGUUCGUAUCCAGACUGUAUGCUCGGUGCACACUACUAUGUACAAUAAGUAUAUGUAAGAAUGGGGGAUGUUUGUGUUGCAGAACGUAAUACAUUGUGCGACCGUGUGGGGAAACUUUCAAUCACUCCCCUAACAUGCAGGGCAGUCUAGUGCACAGGAGACGCAUGAGCACGUUCAUAAGAGGCUUACAGUGAGGACGGCUCUCUGCAAACUGGAGCUCCAGUAUUGCUUCGUAUAAGAUGAUUGGCCCAUUGCCCAACCAGUUAAGUAAGGCAUCACUGCGACUUAGCAAGUAAACAAACAACUGGACAUUCUGGAUCUAUUGUCCGAACUCCACGCGGAUGACCUCCUCGCUGUCCUUGCCUUGUCUAUCCGCAGGCUCAGAUGCUGGUGCUCAGCACCCUGCGGACGCUCAUACUAGGAGACAUCAGAUUUUGCUUUACUUGUUUUCAAGUAUCUACAGUUCUAAAUGAAUUACAUCUUUAUCUCCAUGGACAAUAGAGACAUAAUUCAUACAACCCUUCAAUAUCUGAAAAGACAUGCUGAACAAUGUUUUUUGUUUUCAACUUUGGGAAAAACUAUUCAGCAGUCGUUCUGAUCUCCCGUAGUUUAUAAUGUGCCUAUAAGGUUUAUUUUAAGAGGUAUCUUCAGAUUAUACCUAAAAACACUCACAAAUUGUAGCACUUAAAUUGUACUUGUAAUGGCUCUAUAUACAGCAAGUUGUAAAUCGGCUUAUUUAAUGAACAUACACUUUCUUGUUUCUUAGUUUGUAUCUUAUUGUAAGUCGCUUUGGAUAAAAGCGGCAGCUAAAUGACAUGUAAUGUAAUGUAUAGGUUACCAUCAGUUACCGGUCUGAAGGGAUUUUCCUAAUAUUCCUCAGGUUCGGGUGAGGACAGAGGAUACCCAGAUAACUGAUAUGUGUCCACAACAUUCUCCUCUGUGUAUGAGGGGGCCAUUGUUACUGUCUGAGUGCUGACUGGAAUAUGAGUUGAGGGACCAACCACUUUUUUAUUUAAAAGAUAAUAAGAAGCAAAACCAUUAGUGUGGUUGUUUGUCCGUUGGUUUGUGUACUUCCAUUAUGAAGCCUUAAGUUUGGCAAUUUUGUCAUCGCCACCAUGGAACACAACCUUUGCCAUCUUGUCAUUUUUGCAGGCGAAAGUUACCAAAUUUUGGAAUGCAGAGGAGGGACGUAGAGAAACCCAAUGCAACUCUGGCCUGUCAAUCACAGUAAGUUUGCUGCUAAAGUCUGUUUGAGUGAUUGAUUGGAUCCUUAUUCACCUCGUCCUGAGCUUUUACUGUAAUAUAUAGAAAUAUCUACCACAAAUUCUUCAUGCACAGAAGGAGACCAAACAAGGACACGGGAAGUUGAAGCGGUGGGCGGGAGGAUGGGGAGCAAAGGGCCAGACUGGAGGGCCGGGUGCACACAUACACACUCACACGCAGGAUGUGUGUCUCCAGGCACUGCAGGGCUGAAGUUAAAGAGAGAGCUUGUUUUCCUCCCUUCAAUUGAAACACAGUAGUGCUCCCUGCAGGCUGCAGCCUCACCUUGGAGUGGGGGCAAAGAAUAGAAAAGCCCACACCAUCCUCAGAGAGGCCUUGAGGGCAAGUUUCCACCACGAACCGUAACUGCUUCAAAGCCAGGCGUCACGAAGGGCAUCUGACGCAGCGUCCGGUGCUGCAGGACGGGUCGGGGAACAGCUCCAUGGUGUGACGACGUCCAAAGGUUGUGAUGAGUGGAUACAUCAGUGACAGGGCUGAGCUCGGGUUCGCCUUAACUUUGCCGGAACUACAUGUGAUGUGAUGCUGCUGAUUGAAAGAGGGUGGGGGGGUGGGGGGGGGGGUUCUGCCUGCCCUUUGUGCGUGUUGUAUGACUGUCAGGCAGAAAUUCGCCCCGGGGAUUAGACUCAUCCGAAUGCUAUUCACGGUUUAAUGGGGCUGAUAAUGAAACCUACAAGAGCGCGAGAGGCUCAUUUUUUCAAAUCAAAAGGGACUUGGGCAGAAUAUAUUCGUGCUUCAUGGUCAUGUUGUGCGUCACUAGAUUACAUUUGGACACAGUGCUAAUGGGGACUUGGGGGAGCGCCACAGCAGCACUUUGUGUAGCUGUCAGGUUAAUAGCAACCCUUUGUAUGUUAAAGUGUGCGCACCUGUCCCUUGAUGAAAGUGUGUAUGUCUGCAGGCUGCACAAGACCCCAUUGAGCCCAGUGCGUUUGGGAGGGCGAGGUGACUCAUCCUGCCCACUGGCUCCGCUUCUCAAAAUACUCCUCUUUCCCAUCCUCACCUUUUGUCCUUUCAUUUCAUCAGCUCAUAUGACUUUAACAAGGGACCGAUCCAUGCCUGCUCACCAAAACGUUACGUCAAAUGUCACUUAUUUAUAUUUUAACCUCUGAUUGAGGUUUUUUUAUGAAGCUGAAUUUUGUCAUAUUCAUUAUGAAAUGGGGAACACAUGAUUUAAUUCAAUUCAAUUCAAUUCAUUUUAUUUUGUAUAGCCCAAAAUCGCAAAUUACAAAUUUGCCUCAGAGGGCUUUACAGUCUGUACACAUACGACAUCCUCUGUCCCGAACCCACCAUCGGCACAGGAAAAACUCCCCAAAAAAUAAAAAAAAACCUUCCAAGAGGGGAAAAAAGGGAAGAAACCUUAGCGAGAACGUCAGAGGAGGGAUCCCACUCCCGGGAUGGACAAACUACAAUGGAUGCCAUGUGUACAGAAUGAACAAUGUAUAAUACAUGCAAUUCCUAUGACAGAAAUUAUUCAAGUAAUUGUGAGUAGUAAGCCAGGCGCACAGAAGGACUACUGCAGGGGCAACCACCAUCAGAUAGAACCACCAUCACAUAGAACCACAAUCAGAUAGAACCACCAUCUACAGAAGCCUGUGGAGAGGGAGACAAAGACUUUAGGAGGGGGUAAUGUUGGUUUACGAGUACAGUAAUAUGAUUAAUAUCUAAAAUAAUAAUGAUGAUGACGAUGGCAGCAGCAGGCGUCAGCAGGGCCACGGCAGGUGUCAGGACCAGGGUCCAGAAGGAACCACGAUCUACGUAGACCUGCUAGGUGAGAAAGCACACAAAACUCCCGGAAAGAAGCUGAAUUGGUCAUGUGCAUUAAUAAAACGUGAAUUAUUGUAGAACGAGAAAGUGAGAGAGGAGCUCGGUGUGUCCUAAGAAGUCCCCCGGCAGUCGAAGCCUAUAGCAGCUUAACUAAGGGCUGGUCCGGGCCAACCUGAGCCAGCCCUAACUAUACGCAGAAUCAAAGAGGAAAGUUUUAAGUUUUACUUUAAAAGAGCGGACCGAAUCUGCCCCCCUGAAAGUGGAAGCUGGUUCCACAAAAUAGGAGCUUGAUAACUGAAGGCUCUGGCCCCCAGCCUACUUUUUAAAACCAUAGGAACAACAAGUAACCCAGCAUCUAUGGAGCGCAGCUGCCUUGUCGGGCAAUAAGGUGUUACAAGCUCUUUAAAAUACGACGGUGCCUCACCAGCAAGUGCCUUGUAGGUGAGGAAGUUUUAAGUACCUUAAAAUCUAUUCUUGAUUUAACAGGGAGCCAGUGCAGAGAAGUUAAUACAGGAGUGAUAUGAUCCCUUUUCUUAGUUCUUGUUAAUACACGUGCUGCAGCAUUCUGAAUCAACUGGAGAGGCUUAAGAGAUUUACAAGAGCAGCCUGAUAACAAAGAAUUACAGUAGUCCAGUCUGGAAGUGACAAACGCAUGAACUAAUGAUUCUGCAUCACUUUGAGACAGGGAGUUCCUGAUUUUUGAUAUGUUGAUGGUGCUGCUGGGUACCAGAGCAAUUCCAUUCAUAAAAACUGUAUCACGUGACAGCUGGCUUCGAAGGCGCUCUGGGCCUAUCAAGAUAACUUCUUUUUUUUUGAGUUUAGCAUCAGGAAGUUGGCGGUCAUCCAAGUUUUGAUGUCUCCAAGACAUUCUUGAAGUCAACUAGCUGGUGGGUCUCUUCUGGUUUGAUCGACAGAAACAGUUGAGUAUCGUCUGCAUAACAAUGGAAGUUUAUGCGGUGUUUCCUGAUAAGAUCGCCCAAAGGAAACAUAUAGAGGGUAAAUAAAUUCGCUCCAAGUACAGAACCUUGUGGGACUUCGUGACCAACAUUGGUGGUCUUUGAGGAUUCACCGUUUACAAGCACAAACUGGGAUCGAUCCGAUAAGUAGGAUUUAAACCAGCUGAGUGCAGUUCCUUUGAUACCAAUUAAAUGUUCUAGUCUCUGCAACAGGAUAACAGGAGUCCUUGGUCCGAAGCAAGUAGAAGAUCACUCAUAAUUUUCACCAGUGCUGUACAAUGAUGCACUCGAAAUCCUGACUGGAAAUCCUCGAACAAAGCAUUGUUUUGUAGAAAGUCACAUAAUUGAUUUGUGACAGAUUUCUCAAGGAUCUUAGAGAGGAAGGGAAGAUUAGAGAUAGGUCUGUGAUUUAGUGUUAUUGUGGUUACAUAAACUAAAUAUGACGCUGUUAUAAUGAUGCCAGACAUGUGUGUGCUUUGCUUGGGUAAGCAGGAGGCUAUUAGUGAAGACCAUAGUUUUGAAUUUUGAAAUUAUUAAAACAUGUAAUUGAAUUAAAGUACAGGAUGAGGAGCUUAACCUGGCUGGAUUGGCCAUUGGGCUGGUUUUGUCACACAGACCUGGCAACCCUGCACGAGGUCCACACCGAGGAGAGAUGGAGACAUCAAUAUAGAAGUAAGACAUUUUAUUUAAAGCAGAGAUACAUCUUUGAGGAACAUGUGAUUAUUCUUGAAACUUAUACCACACUUGUUAGUAGACCAUCUGUGCGGCAGUGAAAGUGUGCUCGCUUACGUCGCCAACUGCCACAGGCCCCAUUGUGGUCAGUUUUGAGAUCGUCACAACUGCCGUCGUUGCCCCCAGCGCCAAGUUGGCCUAUGUAGUCUUCAACAGUGCCAUUGCCUCCUUCAUGCAUCUUUUUUACAACAUUAAGGUGGUGAGCUGAUGCCAGUUGAUUGGUUUCCAAAAAAUGUGGUUAAUUAAUUAUGUGAUAUUCAACUUCUCUAAACAGAACCUGCUAUGACAAUUCCCCAUUCAAAGACUUGAUGAAAGGCAUUUGAACGAAGCCGGUUACGAUCUAAAUUACAUAAAUGCAACAGAGUUUUAAGAUCAGAUAUAUUGUCAAAUGUUUGUCAAAAGAAGGGCUGGAUGUCAACUAGCACUGACUUUGUGAAGAGCCAGCCAAUCAGGGCUGAUCAGCUACUCCUGUGACACCUGCAGAUGGGUAUAUUUACCUGCGACGUGACUCAGGUUGCAUUUUCUGUUGGUGACCGAAGUAAU
Molecule: long non-coding RNA, 13721 nt
Organism: Gasterosteus aculeatus aculeatus (three-spined stickleback)
Lineage: Eukaryota; Metazoa; Chordata; Actinopteri; Perciformes; Gasterosteidae
Source: Ensembl